GGGCCGUUAGUUCAUCGGUAGAACGUCCGAUUCACAUUCGGAAGGCGGUAGGUCCGACUCCUACACGGCCCACAA
RNAcentral lists this transfer RNA (75 nucleotides) under Candidatus Nomurabacteria bacterium RIFCSPLOWO2_12_FULL_46_14. RNAcentral describes it as "tRNA-Val". It matches the Rfam family "tRNA". Rfam says of the family: Transfer RNA (tRNA) molecules are approximately 80 nucleotides in length. Their secondary structure includes four short double-helical elements and three loops (D, anti-codon, and T loops). Lineage: Bacteria; Candidatus Nomuraibacteriota. The record is from RNAcentral.